GAUGAAGAACGCAGUGAAAUGCGAUACGUAAUGUGAAUUGCAGAAUUCAGUGAAUCAUCGAGUCUUUGAACGCACAUUGCGCCCCCUGGUAUUCCGGGGGGCAUGCCUGUCCGAGCGUCAUUGCUGCCCUCAAGCACGGCUUGUGUGUUGGGCCUCCGUCCUCCUCCCGGGGGACGGGCCCGAAAGGCAGCGGCGGCACCGCGUCCGGUCCUCGAGCGUAUGGGGCUUCGUCACCCGCUCUUGUAGGCCCGGCCGGCGCUUGCCGAAACAUCAAUCUUUUUUCCAGGUUGACCUCGGAUCAGGUAGGGAUACCCGCUGAACUUAAGCAUAUCAAUAAGCGGAGGA
Molecule: unclassified non-coding RNA, 345 nt
Filed under: soil metagenome
Description: partial contains 5.8S ribosomal RNA, internal transcribed spacer 2, and large subunit ribosomal RNA
Rfam family: 5.8S ribosomal RNA (bases 1-120)
Source: RNAcentral